Salvia splendens (bonfire salvia) is the source of this 4507-nucleotide long non-coding RNA. RefSeq lists it as uncharacterized. The transcript is spliced from 15 exons. The record is from RefSeq and is a predicted model, not a curated record. NCBI's taxonomy places the organism in Eukaryota, Viridiplantae, Streptophyta, Magnoliopsida, Lamiales, Lamiaceae.
GCAUCACUUCCCAAAUUUCAAUUGCCGUUAGAAUUGAGCAACCCUUAAUUCCCGUCGCCUCCUCCGACUCACUCUACGCCGGCGACCACAACGCCCUCUCACUCCCUUCUACGUCCUCUCUACACUCCGGCUAAACAACACAGUCAAGUCACGAUUCGCCCUUCGUUCCACCACCGCCUUUGCUUUCGGUUCGCGAGGUCUCAUCACCACCACUCCGUCGCCGUCAGAACGGAGUUUCUGUGCUACUGUUUGGAAGCCGCUGCCGUGGAAUCACCGCAGCCGAACAUCAGCGCCGAAUCAGGCGCCUCAUUGUCCCAGCUUUGCUGCAAUGUCUCGCCGUCGCCAUUUGUUUAUUUAAUCGAGGAAGCGGACAGACUCGCCGUCUGAUUUUGAUGCUGCCGAUUCUCGCCUAGCGGUGAGAGGCGCUCGAGAAUCCACCAAGCAGUCGCUGCCAUCGGGGUCUCACUUCGGUCGGUGUCAUUCUCCAGCCAUCUCGGCUGCAUUGUCACUAUCAAUUUCGUCGGACUUCCGUGGACUUCUCGGCUUAAUAGUUGUGUGGCAAUGGAGGCGUUCUUGUUCUAGUUCAGGCCAUCAUGAACUUAAAGUUAUCGGGCUCAGACAAUAUUUCCUCAUACAUGGCUGCUAUCUCCCGCCUAAAAUCUAAAGCUUUAUCUAUUCUUUUGCACCUUUGUGAAGCUGAAAGUGUAUCCUACCUGGAUGAGGUGGCCAGCAACACAACAACUCGGGAUGUGGCAAAGUCUGUUGGACUCGAGGUUCUUCAAUUGCUGAAAAAUGUUUGGUAUAGAUUCAAGACAGUUAAAAGCUCCCUCCGAGGCAAGUUACCCGAAGGGUCAACUGGAACGUAAUACAAAGUGCUUGGUAGAUGUCGUCUCAGAUGCUUCAAAUUUUCGGUCAUUCAUCAUGAUAAACUUUGUUCACAGUUGAGUCAUUCUGAAUCUUUAGUUCCAGGAGUUUUGAAUGAAGAUGAUGUAUAACUGCUGAGGUUAUUUAUAAGUCAGUUUGAGUGCCGAAUCAUUCGUGCUGCAUCGGAAGAUCAUUUAGUCCAUGAGCUUGGGAAGGGGUGGACUGCAGGAGCAACUAGCUUCCUAUAUUGGACUCUCGGCCCUGAUGAGAAAAAAGAGGAAUAAGCUUCAUAAAAAGGAAUUUUAAAGCCACAAAAGGAAGGUAGGAAGCUUUAUAAACUUACUACACACAUUUCCUUUUUACUUUGGCAUUCGGUUUGCUGUACUUGCAUCUAAAAAAAAAGAAAUCGCUGGCCUUGGAAGCUGGUUGAGCACUCAAUUAGUGUCAAGUAAAGAUACUUUCUAUGAGGAUCAGUCAUUAAGCAUCAACGUGUGACUCACCUUACGCUGAGUAUUGCUUUACGAGCUGUUUUAGAUGCUUUGAGUAAGCCUGCAGAUUGGUAAGUUUGUCCCUUCCUCGGUUAUCUGUGAAUUCAGUCUGACCUUGGAUUUAUGACCUUGGAGCAGUUUGUGGACCGUAUCAUUGAGUAUUACUUCUCCAGUUUAGUUUUGACCACCUCACUAUUUAUUACAGCGAGUUGAAGGGUAUAAAGAUGCAACCAAUAUUUGCUUCAAUAUUCAAACAUUUAUUUAAUAAACCUAACUUUAGUUCGAUAUUAAGUGUGCCAUUUCAUACUAAAGCCAUCAAUGAAGAACUACUGCAAAAUCUUUCUGAUGCUCUACACUUAUCGGUACCUGAUAAAAUUGGAGUUGGUCUUGCUUUGUCUAAUUCUGAAGAACACGAUAUCUUUAUGAUACUAAGAAGUGUGGUUAGUUAUUCUCUUCUUUGUACAUACAUUUAGAUAUAUUAUUUUGUUUAGUUGUAGGAAGUGAAAUACAUGCAUAAGUUUAUUAUUUUUUUCUCCUUGGAAUUCUUCCGCAUGUUUCACUAAACCUAUAACCCUUUUCUUGGCUGUAUGCAGGAAAGAAUUUCUGUUUGACACAAUUUAGAGAGCUGUGUGCCAAACCUACUGCGUUUGAGGCUACUGUGAUAAUUCAGCAUAUUCUCGUGUUACUCUUAGUCAAUUUGAAGUUUUUAAUUAUUUAGAUUCAUUCUUGCAAAUGUUAUCUAUUGUUCCACUACUAAGGUUUUUCUGUUAUAGUUCCUAAUGCAUAAAUAGACUAGAAUGUACUUGGUCGAUAUAAAGGUCGAGGGUGGUAGGGGGCGACUAACUUCUUAACUUAAGAGAAACGGCGGAAUAGGGUGGAAAACAAAAGGCACAAGUCUAUUUAUUGGUUUUUGAGCUUGAUUUGCUUGAUCUUCUGCUUCUUGGUUGUUGCGCCUACAAUUUUCUAUUUAUUCAAUUCAUUCUUUGCUGCCUUUUGCAGCUUUACAAUUAACCUGUAACAUAUAUUAUAUUUUUGUGUGUUAUGACGUUUUUCUACUUUUUUCUAAUCCACUGUUUGCUACCUUGCAGCUUUAUAAUUAAUACAUACAUAGUAUCCUAUUUUCUUUGUCUUAUAUGCCGUGUACAAAUAUGUCUUAUAUGUGUUAUUCUUUGAUAUAUAAACCCCAUUGAUUGUCAAAUCUUGGCAUCUUAAUAUAUCUGUUAAUUGUUUUUAUAGGCUCUUUCCCAAGUACUUACUAGACACAUUUCCUUUUUACUUCGGCAUUAGGUUUGCUGAACUUGCUUCUAAAAAAUAAAUCGUGGGCCUUGGAAGCUGGUUGAGCACUCAAAUAGUGUCGAGUAAAGAUACUUUCUAGAGGAUCAGUCAUUAAGCAUCAACUUGUGACUAACCUUAUGCUGGGUAUUGCUUUACGAGCUGUUUUCGAUGCUUUGAGGAAGCUUGCAAAUUCAAAAGUUUGUUCCUUCCUAGGCAUUGGAGCAGUUUGUGGGUCAUCUCAUUAAGAAUUAUUGAUCCAGUUCAGGUUUGAGCACCUCACUAUUUAUUCCAGCGAGUUGAAGGGUAUAAAGCUGCAACCAAUAAUUGCUUCAAUAUUCAAAUAUUUAUUUAUUAAACCUUACUUUAGUUCGAUAUUAAGUGUGUCAUUUCAUACUAAAGCCAUCAAUGAAGAACUACUGCAAAAUCUUUCUGAUGCUCUACACUUGUCGGUACCUAAUAAAAUUUGGGUUGGACUUGCUUUGUCUAAUUAUGAGGAACACGAUAUCUGCACGAUACCAGGAUGUGUGGUUAGUUAUUCUCUUAUUUGUACAUACAUUUAGAUAUAAUUUUUUGUUUAGUUGUAGGAAGUGGAAUACAUACAACAGUUUAUUAUUUUUCUCUCCUUGGAAUUCUUCUACGUGUUGCACUAAACCUGUAACCCUUUUCUUUGUUGUAUGCAGGAAAGACUUUCUGUUUGAGUCAGAUUGCUGCGUUUGAGGCUACUGAGAUAAUUCAGCAUAUUCUUGUGUUAUUCUUGGGAAACUAGGGUGUUUUCCGUGAUAGUUCCUAGUUGUCUAUAAUGUUGUAAAAUACGCUUCAACCUAACUAUGUUACUUGUAAUGUUACCCCGUUCUAAAAUUUUCAACUUGCCUAUAAUGUUUAUCCUUUGUGAAUGCUUGUGCUUCAGGAUCAGUCAUUAAGCAUCAACUUGUGACUAACCUUAUGCUGGGUAUUGCUUUACGAGCGGUUUUCAAUGCUUUGAGGAAGCUUGCAAAUUCAAAAGUUUGUUCCUUCCUAGGCAUUGGAACAGUUUGUGGACCGUCUCAUUUAGUGGCCACUGUAUUGCCAUCAUAUCCUGCACUUUGUAACAUUUAUAGGGAGGGCACUUAACAGUAUUUCAGCGGCUUAUACUGAACUGAUGUUAGCCAUAGUGCCAAUACUGAUCACCGACACAGUCAUAUUCAAUCUUCAUCUCCACAUAUAGAGACUGCAGGCCCACCAUUUUCUCUGAUCGGACCCGGCAGCAUAUUGUCUGGAUUAGCAAUUCCCUCUUCGAUCCCACUACAACAGAGACCACCAAGUUCUCUAGAUGAGAGUUUACUCCUAAUUACAUGAAGCCAUCACAACACACCUACCCUUCCUAAGGCAAGUAAUAGGGUCUUUGUCUACUUUGAUGUAGUUCACUUGAUACUUUUUCAUUUUUACCUUGUUUUGACUGUAUUAUUAAGAGCUAAUCUACUCAAACCCACAAUGCAGUCACUCAGUGGUGCUUUGCUGUCUUUAAAAUCUGCCUCGUCGAGUUUACCACGUUCUUCUAGAUAAACCUCAGCAAGUAAAUUGUCACGUUUAACUGUACUACUCUCUCUCAUUGUGCCCUUUAUGGAUUAUAUUAACAUUGGGUCUGGUGUUACAACUGUGCGAAGAGAAACUCCCAUAGAGGUGCUUGGAUGUAGACGUCUUAUAACUUUUUGGCCCCUGUUUACACAUUAUCUUGAUCCUUUUGGUUUUCCCAUGUUUUUACUCUUGAGGAUUUUCUUCCUUGUUAUGAGUUAGCAUAUUACAAGUUCUAUUAAUUGCACAUAUAACUUGAUCCCACUGGUUAACUAAAAUCUCACACUUCUGAAUUCUUUCUUCAUUCCUGAUUACUUUCUCGUUUUCCU